UACGGAGGGUGCAAGCGUUAUCCGGAUUCACUGGGUUUAAAGGGUGCGUAGGUGGGCUGGUAAGUCCGUGGUGAAAUCUCCAAGCUUAACUUGGAAACUGCCGUGGAUACUAUUAGUCUUGAAUCUCGUGGAGGUAAGCGGAAUAUGUCAUGUAGCGGUGAAAUGCUUAGAUAUGACAUAGAACACCGAUAGCGAAGGCAGCUUGCUACACGAGUAUUGACACUGAGGCACGAAAGCGUGGGGAGCAAACAGG
Molecule: ribosomal RNA, 253 nt
Filed under: uncultured bacterium
Lineage: Bacteria
Description: partial 16S ribosomal RNA
Rfam family: Bacterial small subunit ribosomal RNA
Source: RNAcentral